RNAcentral lists this long non-coding RNA (852 nucleotides) under Medicago truncatula (barrel medic). Its description in RNAcentral is "lncRNA gene16217". Lineage: Eukaryota; Viridiplantae; Streptophyta; Magnoliopsida; Fabales; Fabaceae. The record is from RNAcentral.
GGCGCCGCCGCCGGAAAAACUUCCUUGCUCCGAUUCAAAAAAUUUUUACGUUUUUAAACAUCCUUUUUCGUGCUAUUCAUGAAUCCGAGCUUGGUUUUUUGAAAAAGAUUUUCAACCGGAGUAGAUCUAAGUUUGAAGUUGCGGUUUUGAAUGAAGUUUUUCUUUGUUCUUUGUGCUUUUUGGCUACGUGCUUCUAGAAUCCUACAUGUUUAUACUUGAUUCUCCUUUUUAUCCAUUUUUUGCGAAAAAAAGGAAGUUUGAGUUUUACCUGUGGUUUUCUUGGUGGUUCCGAUCCGGAUCUUCAAGGAAAGCUUGAUUUUAGUCUUGUUCCGUUGAUUCUGGUUUGGUUCCCUGCUGUUCUGAUCCGCUCUUCUUCUUCACAGGUUCGGUAUAUGGAUUUUCGUCCCUCUUCUUCGUCUCCGGGAAAGCCUCUGCGAUCGUGCUUGAGUUCGCCGCUUUCAGUGGUGGACUCGCACUCGAAUUGCAGAGCAACGAUUCAAUGAUGAUGAUUCCUUGGCGAAUCUCUGAGAAUCGUGGAAAAUUCAAUGAAUUUCUUGAUGAUUUUGUGAUUCUGGUGAUUUAGAGAGAAAAAUUGAUUCUGUUUUUCUUCUUUGGUGAAGUGGCGUGUGAUUAAUGGCUUUGAAUCUGACUCACUGUUUAUAUAGUUGACAUGUGUACACUUGAGCCAAUGGAACUGUGACAUCUGGAUUUGUAUGGGAGGGGCACGGCCUUGGACUUAAAAUGGACUUUGGACCUUUUUGCAAAAAUAAGAAUUUUAAGGACUAAACUGCAAAAUUAAAAAAACUUGAAAUGAAAUAAACAAAAAAACAGUUUGGACAAAAAUGCAAUUUU